Capsaspora owczarzaki ATCC 30864 is the source of this 82-nucleotide transfer RNA. It matches the Rfam family "tRNA". Rfam says of the family: Transfer RNA (tRNA) molecules are approximately 80 nucleotides in length. Their secondary structure includes four short double-helical elements and three loops (D, anti-codon, and T loops). The record is from Rfam. NCBI's taxonomy places the organism in Eukaryota, Filasterea, Ministeriida, Capsasporidae.
GUAGGAGUAGGAAAGUGGUUAAAUCCGAUCGACUCAAGUUCGAUUCUCUUGCAGUUCGGGGGUUCGAAUCCCUCCUCCUACA